AUGUCUGACACAAGUGAGAGUGGUGCAGGUCUAACCUGUUUCCAGGCUGAAACUUCAGAAGAGGACAACAGCUUGGUGAUGCGGACUCUACUGGCAGUGACCCAGAACUUGGAAGUCUCAGAGGCACCCAAGGCCUCAAAGGCACCAGAGGCCACAGGGGUCCCAAAGGCCACAGGAGUCCCAAUGGCCACAGGAGUCUCAAAGACCCAAGAAGCUCAGGAGGCAGCUGUCACCCAAGCCUCACCUACCAUUCAGCAGACUGAUACCCAGGUUCUGAAAGCUGGAAAAAAGAGCCCAGCAGCUGACACCAAGAUACAGAAUACUGACCCUGAGACCAAAAAAGUCAAUUGUGUGGCUGAUAACCAGGUUAAAACAAAGGCCCAUGAGACGGAGGCUUCUGCUUCUCAGGCUCCCACAGAUGAACCUGAGCCUGAGCAUGCAGCUGCUGAGGCUCAGGAGAAUCAGGAUGCUCGACCCAAGGUCAAGACUAAGAAAGCUCGAAAGGUGAAUCACCUGAAUGGGGAAGAAGAUGGCAGUAGUGAUCAGAGUCAGGCUUCUGGGACCACAGGUGGCCGAAGAGUUUCAAAGGUCCUAAUGGCCUCAAUGGCCCGUAGGGCCUCAAGGGGCCCCAUAGCCUUUUGGGCCCACAGGGCAUCAAGGACUUGGUUGGCUGCUUGGGCCCGGAGAGCCUUGCUUUCCCUGAGGUCACCUAAGGCCUGUAGGGGCAAGGCUCGCCACAGAACUGUGAAUCUCCAGUCUUCCCAAGAACCUGAAGCACCACCGCCUCAGGAUGUGGCCCUUUUGCAAGGGAGGGCAAAUGAUUUGGUGAAGUACUUGCUGGUUAAAGACCAAAAAAUUGAUAAGAAUGACCACUUGUACAUUCUUCUCAGCACCCUAGAACCCACUGAUGCAGGCAUACUGGGAACAACCAAGGAUUCACCCAAACUGGGUCUCCUUAUGGUGCUUCUUAGCAUCAUCUUCAUGAAUGGAAAUCGGCCCAGUGAAGCUGUCAUCUGGGAGGUGCUACGCAAGUUAGGGCUGCAUCCAAGGGUGCAUCACUCGCUCUUUGGGGAUGUAAAGAAGCUCAUUACUGAUGAAUUUGUGAAGCAGAAGUAUCUGGAUUAUGCCAGAGUCCCCAAUAGCAAUCCCCCUGAAUAUGAGUUCUUCUGGGGCCUGCAUUCCUACUAUGAGACCAGCAAGAUGAAAAUCCUCAAGUUUGCAUGCAAGGUACAAAAAAAGGAUCCCAAGGAAUGGGCAGCUCAGUAAUGUGAGGCUAUGGAAGCAGAUUUGAAGGCUGCAGCUGAGGCUGCCAAUGAAGCCAAGGCGAGGGCUGAGACUAGAGCCCGAAUGGGUAUUGGACUUGGCUCUGAGAAUGCUGCAGGGCCCUAUAACUGGGAUGAAGCUGAUAUUGGACCCUGGGCCAAAGCCCGGAUCCAGACAGGAGCUGAAGUUAAAACAAAAACCCAAGAGUGAGGUAGUACCAAUGCUGGUGCCAGUGAAAGUACCAGAAGUGGCUUCAAUGCCAGUUCAAGCCUGACUGCCACUCUUACAUUUGGCCUCUUUGCUGGCCUUAGUGGAGCUGGUACUAGUACCAACAGCAACUCUGGUGCCUGUGGUUUCUCUUACAAGUGA
This is an RNA transcript of Chrysochloris asiatica (Cape golden mole), 1632 nucleotides long. It is a transcript of the gene named melanoma-associated antigen D2-like, with no coding region annotated. The transcript is spliced from 3 exons. The record is from RefSeq and is a predicted model, not a curated record. Lineage: Eukaryota; Metazoa; Chordata; Mammalia; Afrosoricida; Chrysochloridae.